AGAACGAACGCUGGCGGCAGGCUUAACACAUGCAAGUCGAGCGAGGACUUCGGUCCUAGCGGCGGACGGGUGAGUAACGCGUGGGAACGUGCCCCUUUCUUCGGAAUAGCCUCGGGAAACUGGGAGUAAUGCCGAAUACGUCCCGUAAGGGAGAAAGAUUUAUCGGAGAGGGAUCGGCCCGCGUUGGAUUAGGUAGUUGGUGGGGUAAUGGCCUACCAAGCCGACGAUCCAUAGCUGGUUUGAGAGGAUGAUCAGCCACACUGGGACUGAGACACGGCCCAGACUCCUACGGGAGGCAGCAGUGGGGAAUCUUGGACAAUGGGGCAACCCUGAUCCAGCCAUGCCGCGUGAGCGAUGAAGGCCUUAGGGUUGUAAAGCUCUUUCAGCGGGGAAGAUAAUGACGGUACCCGCAGAAGAAGCCCCGGCUAACUCCGUGCCAGCAGCCGC
This 447-nucleotide ribosomal RNA is filed under the name uncultured bacterium. RNAcentral's name for it is "SSU rRNA". It matches the Rfam family "Bacterial small subunit ribosomal RNA", at positions 26 to 518 of the family's 1533-position model. The record is from RNAcentral.